RNAcentral lists this ribosomal RNA (483 nucleotides) under uncultured bacterium. RNAcentral describes it as "partial 16S ribosomal RNA". It matches the Rfam family "Bacterial small subunit ribosomal RNA", at positions 28 to 523 of the family's 1533-position model. The record is from RNAcentral.
GACGAACGCUGGCGGCGUGCUUAACACAUGCAAGUCGAACGAUGAAGCCGGAGCUUGCUCCGGUGGAUUAGUGGCGAACGGGUGAGUAACACGUGAGCAAUCUGCCCUUGACUCUGGGAUAACUGCGGGAAACUGUAGCUAAUACCGGAUACGACACCUUGGGGCAUCCCAGGGUGUGGAAAGAAUUUCGGUCAAGGAUGAGCUCGCGGCCUAUCAGCUAGUUGGUGAGGUAAUGGCUCACCAAGGCGACGACGGGUAGCCGGCCUGAGAGGGUGACCGGCCACACUGGAACUGAGACACGGGCCAGACUCCUACGAGAGGCAGCAGUGGGGGAUAUUGCACGAUGGGCGGAAGCCUGAUGCAGCAACGCCGCGUGAGGGAUGAAGGCCUUCGGGUUGUAAACCUCUUUUAGCAGGGAAGAAGCGAAAGUGACGGUACCUGCAGAAAAAGCACCGGCUAACUACGUGCCAGCCGCCGCGGUAA